RNAcentral lists this RNase P RNA (418 nucleotides) under Bradyrhizobium sp. RNAcentral describes it as "RNase P RNA component class A". It matches the Rfam family "Bacterial RNase P class A". From Rfam's summary of the family: Ribonuclease P (RNase P) is a ubiquitous endoribonuclease, found in archaea, bacteria and eukarya as well as chloroplasts and mitochondria. Lineage: Bacteria; Pseudomonadati; Pseudomonadota; Alphaproteobacteria; Hyphomicrobiales; Nitrobacteraceae. The record is from RNAcentral.
UCAGUCGGCCGGACGGCCGCUCCUGCUACGGCCGAAAGGCUGCGGGAGAGGAAAGUCCGGGCUCCAUCGACAUACGGUGCCGGAUAACAUCCGGCGGGGGCGACCCCAGGGACAGUGCCACAGAGAACGAACCGCUUCUUCUCCGGAAGAAGUAAGGGUGAAAAGGUGCGGUAAGAGCGCACCGCGGGUCCGGCAACGGAAACGGCAUGGCAAACCACACCGGGAGCAAGACCGAAUAGGGACGGCAACGCGGGCUGUGCGCGCAAGCGUUAAACCGCAGGGCGAUGUCAGGCUCGCCGUCCGGGUAGGUUGCUCGAGGCCGUGUGCGAACAUGGUCCCAGAGGAAUGGCCGUCACGUAUCGGCGCAUGCAAAUGCGGCGGUGCCCUACAAAACCCGGCUUACAGGCCGGCUGAUGCU